RNAcentral lists this ribosomal RNA (670 nucleotides) under Lacticaseibacillus paracasei subsp. paracasei. RNAcentral's name for it is "bacterial SSU rRNA". It matches the Rfam family "Bacterial small subunit ribosomal RNA", at positions 57 to 692 of the family's 1533-position model. Lineage: Bacteria; Bacillati; Bacillota; Bacilli; Lactobacillales; Lactobacillaceae. The record is from RNAcentral.
GCAGUCGAACGAGUUCUCGUUGAUGAUCGGUGCUUGCACCGAGAUUCAACAUGGAACGAGUGGCGGACGGGUGAGUAACACGUGGGUAACCUGCCCUUAAGUGGGGGAUAACAUUUGGAAACAGAUGCUAAUACCGCAUAGAUCCAAGAACCGCAUGGUUCUUGGCUGAAAGAUGGCGUAAGCUAUCGCUUUUGGAUGGACCCGCGGCGUAUUAGCUAGUUGGUGAGGUAACGGCUCACCAAGGCGAUGAUACGUAGCCGAACUGAGAGGUUGAUCGGCCACAUUGGGACUGAGACACGGCCCAAACUCCUACGGGAGGCAGCAGUAGGGAAUCUUCCACAAUGGACGCAAGUCUGAUGGAGCAACGCCGCGUGAGUGAAGAAGGCUUUCGGGUCGUAAAACUCUGUUGUUGGAGAAGAAUGGUCGGCAGAGUAACUGUUGUCGGCGUGACGGUAUCCAACCAGAAAGCCACGGCUAACUACGUGCCAGCAGCCGCGGUAAUACGUAGGUGGCAAGCGUUAUCCGGAUUUAUUGGGCGUAAAGCGAGCGCAGGCGGUUUUUUAAGUCUGAUGUGAAAGCCCUCGGCUUAACCGAGGAAGCGCAUCGGAAACUGGGAAACUUGAGUGCAGAAGAGGACAGUGGAACUCCAUGUGUAGCGGUGAAAUGCGUA